GCCAAGGACAUGAGCAUCACGAGAGCAAUGCCAAGGGAACUUAUCGGUAGUUUUCUGUCGUAUCUCAUGCGUGAAAGCUGGAGUGGCUGCAUGGUUUUCUUAUGAAACUAGCAUAUGGACACCAGAUGCUUAUUCUUUAGCUGGUUGCGUCUACAGUAUUAUAGAGCGUGCUCCUCCUUGUUCUGUACUUGUUACUUGUAGCAAGUAGGUCGCCUUGCAAUGACUGAAUUGAUUGACUCCGCCACCCAAGUUGUGGUUGUAACUAAAUUCUACAUGGAGAUUUGUUUCCUAAUCCUAAUGAUACGGCACGUAACUCACAUGUUUUCCUGAAACAAAAGGAAACCAGAUGCUUAUGUUGUACCCUGACUUGGUACAGCGUAUCAGUGGUCUGGUCAAGGAACAUUCUGAGGGCAAGAAUGGACAUUUAUAGCUCAAGAAACCUGGUGCUCUGUUACAUGAUUUCGUAAGAUUUUGCAAGUUGUACUAAUGAAUCUACCAGCGUAAGAUUUUGCAUCACACUGAAAUUUUGCAUGUACACAGAGCAGCUUGUCUGUAGGAACCGUCCUGCAAGAAAGGAAGAGGCCAAGGAGAUGAUCUGCACAAGGGCAAGGCUAAGGGAAGGUAUGUGCAAGUGCAAUAUCAAAUUAAGGCUGGGUGUUAUGCCCCUUUUCGGAGAAAAAGGGAAGGUCUGUAAAAACUGGAGGGGCUGCAUAGUUUUCUUGUAAAACUAUCAUGACGCUUCUUCUUCAGAUGGUUGCUUCUAUCAACAAGGAGGCCCUCCUCGGACGCCCUUCUGGAGUUCUUUACCGACUACGGAGUAGUCACUUUUGCACUUAAUGGUGUGACAUGCAGCUUGCUUGUUGUGGAUAAAUAAGGGAUACCCCCUCUGAUGUGCCCUGACUAUGUAAUGCGUCAAAGGUCUAGUCAAGGAAGACUUCGGAGUCCGGUAGCAAAAAAGGGGCAUGUUUGUAGCCUCAUGGAUGCGGUGACCUGGUGUUCUUUGCCUCUUUUGUCAUGCCGGCGUUGCCUGGUGCGUACGUCUGCUGUUGUUUUCCGUUCCCUCGGCUUCAAGUAGUCAGGAUAGCGUACGAGGACUUGCAAUGGCAGGGUGGUUGAUUGCAACAGGCCGGAAUUCGGGCUGGUUGCUGGCCAGUUUAGUUGAACACAUAGCUGGUGUAAAGAGUUUGUAUUUCUUUUGGGGUAUUAGUUAUGUUUUAGAUGAUGCUGUUUUGACGCUCUGUUCCCAGCGUAGAGUGAUGAGCAAAAGAAUCACUGUACAUGUGGAUAAUAAUAUAGUUCUGGUUGAGAAAAAUAGCAAAAGUUUUUGUGAGACCAGUGAUAGAAUCCAGGUAUAAUGUAUUCUUUACUUUGCCUGGUAUAUUUGCCAGAUCUUGUCUUUAGAUGAUGCUGGUCUUAUAUUCAUCUUCGAUGGAGUGCUGCUUGAUCUUUAUAGAUGUAUGAUAUAAUCUUUA
RNAcentral lists this long non-coding RNA (1472 nucleotides) under Triticum aestivum (bread wheat). RNAcentral's name for it is "long non-coding RNA (TAES_LNC013079)". Lineage: Eukaryota; Viridiplantae; Streptophyta; Magnoliopsida; Poales; Poaceae. The record is from RNAcentral.